Molecule: unclassified non-coding RNA, 325 nt
Filed under: soil metagenome
Description: partial contains 5.8S ribosomal RNA, internal transcribed spacer 2, and large subunit ribosomal RNA
Rfam family: 5.8S ribosomal RNA (bases 1-120)
Source: RNAcentral
GAUGAAGAACGCAGUGAAAUGCGAUAAGUAAUGCGAAUUGCAGAAUUCAGUGAGUCAUCGAAUCUUUGAACGCACAUUGCGCCCUGUGGUAUUCCGCAGGGCAUGCCUGUUCGAGCGUCAUUUCAACCCUCAAGCUCUGCUUGGUGUUGGGCCCUGCCCGCUCGCGGCCGGCCCUAAAGACAGUGGCGGUGCCGUCUGGCUCUAAGCGUAGUACAUCUCUCGCUCUGGUGCCCGGCGGUGUCCUGCCAGAACCCCCCACCUCUGUGGUUGACCUCGGAUCAGGUAGGGAUACCCGCUGAACUUAAGCAUAUCAAUAAGCGGAGGA